RNAcentral lists this ribosomal RNA (253 nucleotides) under uncultured bacterium. RNAcentral's name for it is "partial 16S ribosomal RNA". It matches the Rfam family "Bacterial small subunit ribosomal RNA", at positions 524 to 776 of the family's 1533-position model. The record is from RNAcentral.
UACGAAGGGGGCGAGCGUUAUUCGGAAUCACUGGGCUUAAAGGGCGCGUAGGCGGCGCGCGAGGUCGGGGGUGAAAUCCCACAGCUUAACUGUGGAAGAGCCUUCGAUACCGGCGCGCUGGAGGAAGGUAGGGGUGCGCGGAACUUCUGGUGGAGCGGUGAAAUGCGUUGAUAUCAGAAGGAACGCCGGCGGCGAAAGCGGCGCACUGGACCUUUUCUGACGCUGAGGCGCGAAAGCCAGGGGAGCAAACGGG